Molecule: long non-coding RNA, 438 nt
Filed under: Olea europaea subsp. europaea
Lineage: Eukaryota; Viridiplantae; Streptophyta; Magnoliopsida; Lamiales; Oleaceae
Source: RNAcentral
AUUUUCUUGGAUCUAAUUGUUUAUUAAUUAUGUUCCAUCCUUGAGCAACAAAAUCAACUCGAUAAUAAUAUCAAGGAUAAAAAAUCUAAGCGGUAAAUUUUAAAUGAACGGUAAUAAUAACUGAAAGCAAAAAGUAAAUUAAAAACUGUCUCCCUUCCCUUCUAAUACGAGUGCGAUUGCAAUUGGAAUGUAAGACGAUGAGCAGUAAUCCUCCAUUGAUUUAGAGAAGAAGAAAUAUCUCUUACUCAUCAUAUACAUACUUAGUAUUCGCUUUACGCACAAAUAAAAUCUCCGGAAUCAUUAACGUUCAUUCCCAAGAGGAACUGUGUGCGAUUCAACACAAUUUCAGCUUGCUCUGCUUUCAAUAAAUAAAAGAAAAGAAGAAAAGAAAAGAGGGAGAGCUCAAAUACACAAGUUCAAAUCUGCGGCUGCAAAUAC